GGAUGCGAUCAUACCAGCACUAAAGCACCGGAUCCCAUCAGAACUCCGAAGUUAAGCGUGCUGGGCGAGAGUAGUACUAGGAUGGGUGACCUCCUGGGAAGUCCUCGUGUUGCAUUCC
This 118-nucleotide ribosomal RNA is filed under the name Triticum aestivum (bread wheat). RNAcentral also lists the same sequence under 1 other name. Lineage: Eukaryota; Viridiplantae; Streptophyta; Magnoliopsida; Poales; Poaceae. The record is from RNAcentral.